UUAUUUUGAUGUCAUUUGAAGUAUACGGGGCUGUCUACUUUAUGCUUUGGAUUUAUGAAUGGUUAAAAUAUUGGGUAUUUUAGUUAAUUAAUCAGAUAUCAUUUUAUUUUUUUUAUUUUUUUUUUUAAAUUUGGUAUAUGGUUGGAAUUUUCCUAUGUUUAAUUAAUAUACCUUUUGUGUUCGUAUUAAUUAUAUCAUAACUUCUUUUUAUCAUAUUAAAAGUGGUGAAAUGGUUUUUUCACAUUAUUGUUUUGUAUAAAAAUACAAAAUACGUAUUAAACUUUUAUUUUCAAAGUAAU
This 299-nucleotide long non-coding RNA is filed under the name Vigna radiata. Its description in RNAcentral is "long non-coding RNA (VRAD_LNC003426)". The record is from RNAcentral. Lineage: Eukaryota; Viridiplantae; Streptophyta; Magnoliopsida; Fabales; Fabaceae.